CCUAUAUUCAACUAAUACUAAUAAGGAGGGAUGCUGGAAAAUGAUCUAUAAAGCAUUAAAUUGAAAGAUGACGCCAGUGUACAGAUAACACAGUAGCAGCUCAGCCUCCCCCUUCCUGUGGAUUGACCUUUGUAAAGUUUCUGGCAAAAGAAGUAUGAGAGGGAGAAGACUGGAGAGUCACAUUUCAUCCACUUACUGCAUGAAAAUAAGACCGGAUAGGAAUGAAGGCAGAUGUGAGGGAGUGACAAACAAGCAGAGCAAAGAAAUGUCCACAAACAGCUGGAAAAUUGUUAUGUGUCCUUUAUAAAGUAAAGUGUUAACAGAUUGAAGUUUUGGAAAAACAUUGUUAUGUCAAGUGUAUAUUCAAGUCAAAGUGGAAUCUGUUUGUUAAAUGGUACCAGAACGCCAAUACAGGAUGUGAGCUGAAAACCUCCCUUUCUCACACAUGAAAGGACAACUUUCCAUGAAAUUCACAAAAUACUGAAAUAUCAAGGCAUUUUAGAUGCAGGUCUGCGGUGAUCAGCCCAUUACAAGGAUGUCAUUAAGGCAAUAGAGUUCAGCUCGGAAUUCUCUUAUCGUCAAUUGUCAUGUGUGGUCCAAAAAAAAAUAAAAAACAACACAAAAGGGACUUAUGUCUGGUGUCAAGGCCCAUUCACACAGCACACUUUGCCGUGUUCAAGGACUCUGUAUACGGUGCCAAAAUGGAAUCCCUGAUGUCAUAUGUGUUUCAGACUCAAGGCAAAUCAUCUGCAACGUUUUCACCCCUUUUUUCAAGAUUGCUCUUUCUA
Molecule: long non-coding RNA, 788 nt
Organism: Hyla sarda
Lineage: Eukaryota; Metazoa; Chordata; Amphibia; Anura; Hylidae
Exons: 5
Source: RefSeq, a predicted model, not a curated record